Molecule: ribosomal RNA, 253 nt
Filed under: uncultured bacterium
Lineage: Bacteria
Description: partial 16S ribosomal RNA
Rfam family: Bacterial small subunit ribosomal RNA
Source: RNAcentral
UACGUAGGGAGCAAGCGUUGUCCGGAAUCAUUGGGCGUAAAGCGCGCGUAGGCGGCCCCGUAAGUCCGCUGUGAAAGUCAAAGGCUCAACCUUUGAAAGCCGGUGGAUACUGUGGGGCUAGAGUCCGGAAGAGGCGAGUGGAAUUCCUGGUGUAGCGGUGGAAUGCGCAGAUAUCAGGAGGAACACCAAUAGCGAAGGCAGCUCGCUGGGACGGUACUGACGCUAAGGCGCGAAAGUGUGGGGAGCGAACAGG